AAUCGACACUCCUCGCUGAUUCCUGAACCAAAAUCGUACUUAGCUUCCUUUUUCUUAGCUUUUGCUCCAAAAUGUCUCCUUAUCUCCAUUGUUGUCCCAUUGCAUAGAAUACCUGAAAAGACACUAAAAACACUCGAGAAAUAACAUAAAAACUCAAAAUCUUAUACCUAAAACAUAGAUAAAAGCAGUGAAAAUCAGGUUAUAUCAGUGUCCUUUAACUCUUGAUUUCUCCAUGGAAAACCUAAAAAAAA
Molecule: small RNA, 251 nt
Filed under: Arabidopsis thaliana (thale cress)
Lineage: Eukaryota; Viridiplantae; Streptophyta; Magnoliopsida; Brassicales; Brassicaceae
Description: ATSL092140
Source: RNAcentral